This 344-nucleotide unclassified non-coding RNA is filed under the name soil metagenome. Its description in RNAcentral is "partial contains 5.8S ribosomal RNA, internal transcribed spacer 2, and large subunit ribosomal RNA". The stretch from base 1 to 120 matches the Rfam family "5.8S ribosomal RNA", at positions 35 to 154 of the family's 154-position model. The record is from RNAcentral.
GAUGAAGAACGCAGCGAAAUGCGAUACGUAGUGUGAAUUGCAGAAUUCAGUGAAUCAUCGAAUCUUUGAACGCACAUUGCGCCCGCCAGUAUUCUGGCGGGCAUGCCUGUUCGAGCGUCAUUUCAACCCUCAAGCCCCCGGGCUUGGUGUUGGGGAUCGGCGUGCCCUCGCGGCGCGCCGUCCCCUAAAUCUAGUGGCGGUCUCGCUGUAGCUUCCUCUGCGUAGUAGCAACACUCGCACUGGAUCGCAGCGCGGCCACGCCGUUAAACCCCCCACUUCUGAAAGUUUGACCUCGGAUCAGGUAGGAAUACCCGCUGAACUUAAGCAUAUCAAUAAGCGGAGGA